GUGGUUCUGAAUGGAAGGGCCAUCGCUCAACGGAUAAAAGGUACUCCGGGGAUAACAGGCUGAUACCGCCCAAGAGUUCAUAUCGACGGCGGUGUUUGGCACCUCGAUGUCGGCUCAUCACAUCCUGGGGCUGAAGUAGGUCCCAAGGGUAUGGCUGUUCGCCAUUUAAAGUGGUACGCGAGCUGGGUUUAGAACGUCGUGAGACAGUUCGGUCCCUAUCUGCCGUGGGCGCUGGAGAACUGAGGGGGGCUGCUCCUAGUACGAGAGGACCGGAGUGGACGCAUCACUGGUGUUCGGGUUGUCAUGCCAAUGGCACUGCCCGGUAGCUAAAUGCGGAAGAGAUAAGUGCUGAAAGCAUCUAAGCACGAAACUUGCCCCGA
RNAcentral lists this ribosomal RNA (380 nucleotides) under Salmonella enterica. RNAcentral describes it as "partial 23S ribosomal RNA". It matches the Rfam family "Bacterial large subunit ribosomal RNA", at positions 2423 to 2802 of the family's 2925-position model. RNAcentral also lists the same sequence under 2 other names. Lineage: Bacteria; Pseudomonadati; Pseudomonadota; Gammaproteobacteria; Enterobacterales; Enterobacteriaceae. The record is from RNAcentral.